UACGUAGGGGGCGAGCGUUGUCCGGAUUUAUUGGGCGUAAAGAGCGUGUAGGCGGCCAGGUAGGUCUGCUGUGAAAACUCGAGGCUCAACCUCGAGACGUCGGCGGAAACCAUCUGGCUAGAGUCCGGAAGAGGAGAGUGGAAUUCCUGGUGUAGCGGUGAAAUGCGUAGAGAUCCGGAGGAACACCAAAGGCGAAGGCAGUGUCCUGGGGAGUACCUGACGCUCAGGUGCGAAAGCCAGGGGAGCGAACGGG
Molecule: ribosomal RNA, 253 nt
Filed under: uncultured bacterium
Lineage: Bacteria
Description: partial 16S ribosomal RNA
Rfam family: Bacterial small subunit ribosomal RNA
Source: RNAcentral